GGUGAGAUGGCCGAGCGGUCUAAGGCGCCAGACUAAGGAUCAGGGCAUUCGAUGCCCACUCACACUAUCUGGUCCUCCGGGGCGCGAGUUCGAAUCUCGCUCUCAUCA
Molecule: non-coding RNA, 108 nt
Organism: Pholiota molesta
Lineage: Eukaryota; Fungi; Basidiomycota; Agaricomycetes; Agaricales; Strophariaceae
Source: the annotation of a GenBank genome assembly